Long non-coding RNA from Cucurbita maxima (winter squash), 487 nucleotides. RefSeq lists it as uncharacterized. NCBI's taxonomy places the organism in Eukaryota, Viridiplantae, Streptophyta, Magnoliopsida, Cucurbitales, Cucurbitaceae. The transcript has 2 exons. The record is from RefSeq and is a predicted model, not a curated record.
CAUGCACUUAACUUAGCCACCUCAAUAGAAUUCUUAAAUGUCGAACAAAAAAGUUGUGAGGCUCGAAUGUGUAGUCAAAAGUGACUUCAGUGUCUAACAAAUGGUGUACUAUGUUCGAGGGCUCCAGAGAAAGGAGUCGAGCCUCGAUUAAGGGGAGGUUGGUCGAAGGCUAUAUAAGCUUCAGGAGAGGCUCUAUGGUGUACUUUGUUCGAAGUGAGGAUUGUUGAAGAUUAUUGAAAGGAGUAAUACCACGUUAGCUAAUUAAGAGGAAGAUCAUGGGUUUAUAAGUAAGAAACACUAUCUCCAUUGAUAUGAGGCCUUUUGGGGAAACUAAAAGCAAAGUCAUGAGAGAUUAUGCUCAAAGUGGACAAUAUUAUACCACCGCGGAGGUUCGCGAUUCCAAACAAUAACUAUGGUUCAUAGUCACCUGAGGACAUAUUACCAAGACAUAUUAUAAGCUUCAGCAGCCGUGUCUAAUUUCGAAUCU